Molecule: ribosomal RNA, 430 nt
Filed under: uncultured bacterium
Lineage: Bacteria
Description: bacterial SSU rRNA
Rfam family: Bacterial small subunit ribosomal RNA
Source: RNAcentral
AUUGAACGCUGGCGGCAUGCCUUACACAUGCAAGUCGAACGGUAACGGGCCUUCGGGUGCCGACGAGUGGCGAACGGGUGAGUAAUGCAUCGGAACGUACCUUUCAGUGGGGGAUGACGUAGCGAAAGUUACGCUAAUACCGCAUAUUCUGUGAGCAGGAAAGCAGGGGAUCGCAAGACCUUGCGCUGAUUGAGCGGCCGAUGUCAGAUUAGCUAGUUGGUGAGGUAAAGGCUCACCAAGGCGACGAUCUGUAGCGGGUCUGAGAGGAUGAUCCGCCACACUGGAACUGAGACACGGUCCAGACUCCUACGGAGGCAGCAGUGGGGAAUUUUGGACAAUGGGGGCAACCCUGAUCCAGCCAUGCCGCGUGAGUGAAGAAGGCCUUCGGUUGGUAAAGACGUCUUUCGGUCCGGGAACGGAAAGUACGCAU